Molecule: small nuclear RNA, 190 nt
Organism: Malaclemys terrapin pileata
Lineage: Eukaryota; Metazoa; Chordata; Testudines; Emydidae
Product: U2 spliceosomal RNA
Exons: 1
Source: RefSeq, a predicted model, not a curated record
UUAAUUUUAAACAUUAACUUUAAUAAAAAUUGUAAAACCUGUUCUUAUCAGUUUCAUAUCUGAUAUGUCCUUUAUUUGAGGACUGCAUGUUACAUUGAUUUUUGAAACAAGAGGCUGGAAUAGGAGCUUGCUCUGUCCACCUCACGCAUUGACCUGGUAUUGCAGCGUCUCUGGGAACAGGGCAUCUGCU